Non-coding RNA from Podarcis lilfordi (Lilford's wall lizard), 123 nucleotides. Lineage: Eukaryota; Metazoa; Chordata; Lepidosauria; Squamata; Lacertidae. The record is from the annotation of a GenBank genome assembly.
AACUAAGUUUGUUCUUGGUAUAAGCUUUUGUGUCCUUGUACACUGCUUCAGAUACCAAAGUUAUCGGUAUCUGAAGAAGUGUGCAUGCACACGAAAAGUUAGGUCAUGCCUGUUAAAUGUUUU